This 978-nucleotide ribosomal RNA is filed under the name Shewanella sp. 6-4. RNAcentral describes it as "bacterial SSU rRNA". It matches the Rfam family "Bacterial small subunit ribosomal RNA", at positions 477 to 1533 of the family's 1533-position model. Lineage: Bacteria; Pseudomonadati; Pseudomonadota; Gammaproteobacteria; Alteromonadales; Shewanellaceae. The record is from RNAcentral.
ACUCACAGAAGAAGCACCGGCUAACUCCGUGCCAGCAGCCGCGGUAAUACGGAGGGUGCAAGCGUAAUCGGAAUUACUGGGCGUAAAGCGCGCGUAGGUGGUUGAGUAAGCGAGAUGUGAAAGCCCCGGGCUCAACCUGGGAACGGCACUUCGAACUGCUCGGCUAGAGUGUGGUAGAGGGUAGUGGAAUUUCCUGUGUAGCGGUGAAAUGCGUAGAUAUAGGAAGGAACACCAGUGGCGAAGGCGGCUACCUGGACCAACACUGACACUGAGGUGCGAAAGCGUGGGGAGCAAACAGGAUUAGAUACCCUGGUAGUCCACGCCGUAAACGAUGUCAACUAGCCGUUGGGGAUCUUGAAUCCUUAGUGGCGCAGCUAACGCACUAAGUUGACCGCCUGGGGAGUACGGCCGCAAGGUUAAAACUCAAAUGAAUUGACGGGGGCCCGCACAAGCGGUGGAGCAUGUGGUUUAAUUCGACGCAACGCGAAGAACCUUACCUGGCCUUGACAUGCUGAGAACUUUCCAGAGAUGGAUUGGUGCCUUCGGGAACUCAGACACAGGUGCUGCAUGGCCGUCGUCAGCUCGUGUCGUGAGAUGUUGGGUUAAGUCCCGUAACGAGCGCAACCCCUAUCCCUAGUUGCUAGCAGUUCGGCUGAGAACUCUAGGGAGACUGCCGGUGACAAACCGGAGGAAGGUGGGGAUGACGUCAGGUCAUCAUGGCCCUUACGGCCAGGGCUACACACGUGCUACAAUGGCGCGCACAGAGGGCUGCAAACCCGCGAGGGGGAGCCAAUCUCACAAAACGCGUCGUAGUCCGGAUCGGAGUCUGCAACUUGACUCCGUGAAGUCGGAAUCGCGAGUAAUCGUGAAUCUGAAGGUCAAUCCGAAUUCGGUCGCGGCAAGGUAGCCCUAGAGUUUGAUCCUGCCUCAGUCGUAACAAGGUAGCCGUAGAGUUUGAUCCUGGCUCAGUCGUAACAA